RNAcentral lists this ribosomal RNA (419 nucleotides) under uncultured bacterium. RNAcentral's name for it is "partial 16S ribosomal RNA". It matches the Rfam family "Bacterial small subunit ribosomal RNA", at positions 360 to 771 of the family's 1533-position model. The record is from RNAcentral.
AAUUUGGGACAAUGGGGGCAACCCUGAUACAGCCAGCCCGCGUGUUCGAUGAAGGNCUNNGGGUUNUNAAGCACUUUUGGCAGNNNNNAAAAGGCUCUGGCUAAUACCUGGAGCUGCUGACGGUACCUGCAGAAUAAGCACCGGCUAACUACGUGCCAGCAGCCGCGGUAAUACGUAGGGUGCAAUCGUUAAUCGGAAUUAUUGGGCGUAACGCGUGCGCAGGCGGUUCGGCAAGAAGGAUGUGAAAUCCCAGGGCUUAACCUUGGAACUGCAUUCUUAACUGCCGGGCUAGAGUAUGUCAGAGGGGGGUAGAAUUCCGCGUGUAGCAGUGAAAUGCGUAGAGAUGCGGAGGAAUACCGAUGGCGAAGGCAGCCCCCUGGGAUAAUACUGACGCUCAUGCACGAAAGCGUGGGGAGCAA